Molecule: long non-coding RNA, 872 nt
Organism: Bos indicus x Bos taurus (hybrid cattle)
Lineage: Eukaryota; Metazoa; Chordata; Mammalia; Artiodactyla; Bovidae
Source: Ensembl
GCGGCCCAGCUCCUGUCCCUUCUCCAGAUUGCCUGCAGCACUUUAAUUCUUUCUUUGGGGAACCAGGAAGGGCUCCACUGUUUUUCUGGUUUCCAGGGUGUGCUCCACGUGUUAACCAGGGCUGGUGGGAAUGAAACCACUUUGCAGCGUUCUGGCAGCAAACACAGCUGCCUGACCUUGUGGGGACUGAGAGAAUGGUGGAUCCAAGAAACCAACCACAAAGCAAAAUCUGGGGAGGCUUCCCUGGGGUUCCAGCCAGAAGAGGAGACAGUCCUCACAUCACCACUCAGAUUCCCCCAGAUGGUGGUCCUUCGCCCUGUCCCCCCACCCCUGCCCCCGAUGACUGAGAUCCAUGAAGCUGGGACAAGGUAGAGAGACUUCCCUACAUGUCUUCAGGCAUCUGUCACUUCUGGGGACCAUCAGACUUGGCGGGAGAGACACAGUCCUUGACACGGGAGUCUGAAGACUCAGGGAACACGCGUUCACUGCUGUUGUUCUGAAAACCAGGUGGGCUUCUUUGCGCCUCGCCCCCCUAAGUUGCUGGCUGGAGGGGAUUCAGGGGUCCAGAAUGUAUGCCUAGCCCCACAGCCACACGUCCCUGGCUCCAGGGAGCAGCUGCCUCACAGAAUCGAGGGACAUUCUGCCUUGGGGGGAUCCUUGACUCUUCCUGGGUGUCUAUAACUACCAUCGUCUCACAAUUGUAAUUUCUGCUCCCACCUUAUAGAUUUCAACAGCCAAGCCUUUACCCAAGCCCCUGGGACCACCUGCGUGAAACUCCAUCGAAGCACAAACGUGCAGGAAGGCAUAGAUUUGAGGUUCUAAUUCAUGUUUUUUCGAAUAAAUGUAAAAAACAUAAGACUGAAAUUAAAAAU